RNAcentral lists this non-coding RNA (106 nucleotides) under Brevibacillus borstelensis. RNAcentral describes it as "Glycine sequence". It matches the Rfam family "Glycine riboswitch aptamer". From Rfam's summary of the family: This family represents the bacterial glycine riboswitch. Glycine riboswitches usually consist of two metabolite-binding aptamers domains with similar structures in tandem. RNAcentral also lists the same sequence under 1 other name. The record is from RNAcentral. Lineage: Bacteria; Bacillati; Bacillota; Bacilli; Caryophanales; Paenibacillaceae.
AUGACGAUUGUGGGAGAGACCGGACCGAAGCGCCCGGCACCGAAGGAGCAAGUCCCAAAAAUCCUUGGGAAAGAAUCUCUCAGGUACAAGGUACCACAAUUGGACG